This 316-nucleotide long non-coding RNA is filed under the name Homo sapiens (human). RNAcentral describes it as "non-protein coding lnc-BATF3-7:1". Lineage: Eukaryota; Metazoa; Chordata; Mammalia; Primates; Hominidae. The record is from RNAcentral.
CCCAAACAGGGUAGGCUUCAUGCAGGCCUGUGAGAGUGCCUAUUCCAGCUGGAAGUUCUCUGGGGGCUUCCGCACCUGGGUCAAGAUGUCACUGGUAAAGACCAAGGAGGAGGAUGGGCGGGAAGCAGUGGAGUUCCGGCAGGAGUGGCUCGGGAUGCUCAUCUGGAGCAGAAGGACACACUCCAGUCAACUAGGCCAUCACUGGCCAGAAGUUAGGCCGGAGAAGACUGUCUUGGACAAGUGUGGUUAACUACAUUGACCAGAGGCCAGCUGCCAAAAAAAGUGCUCAAUUGUUUUUUGUGGUCUUUGAAUGGAA